This 580-nucleotide small RNA is filed under the name Pan troglodytes (chimpanzee). RNAcentral's name for it is "retained intron". Lineage: Eukaryota; Metazoa; Chordata; Mammalia; Primates; Hominidae. The record is from RNAcentral.
AAAUUUUAAAUCCUUCCGCUUCCUCCCUUUAAUGAACACACUGGACUCCAUCCUGUGGAGAAGUAGUGGAGGUGCUUUUAUUUUGAACCCUCUUGGUUCUGGCUAGGUCCACUUGAACUCUGUAAGCUUCUCUAUUCUGCCAAUGCAUGUUGGCAAAUGUGGCCUCCGCCUACUGAUGGUCCUUUCUCUCUUCUAUAGACUCAGUGGCUUGUCCCCAUUUCUAGGGGAAACAGAUGCAGAGACCAUGAAUUUCAUUGUAAACUGUAGCUGGGAUUUUGAUGCUGACACCUUUGAAGGGCUCUCGGAGGAGGCCAAGGACUUCGUUUCCCGGUUGCUGGUCAAAGAGAAGAGCUGCAGAAUGAGUGCCACACAGUGCCUGAAACACGAGUGGCUGAAUAAUUUGCCUGCCAAAGCUUCAAGAUCCAAAACUCGUCUCAAAUCCCAACUACUGCUGCAGAAAUACAUAGCUCAAAGAAAAUGGAAGAAACAUUUCUAUGUGGUGACUGCUGCCAACAGGUUAAGGAAAUUUCCAACUUCUCCCUAAUCUUCAACUCUGCUGCUCCAAUGGGUCCAGAAAUUA